This 492-nucleotide ribosomal RNA is filed under the name uncultured bacterium. RNAcentral describes it as "partial 16S ribosomal RNA". It matches the Rfam family "Bacterial small subunit ribosomal RNA", at positions 29 to 507 of the family's 1533-position model. The record is from RNAcentral.
AGUGAACGCUGGCGGUAGGCCUAACACAUGCAAGUCGAACGGCAGCACAGUAAUAGCUUGCUCUCACGGGUGUCGAGCGGCGGACGGGUGAGGAAUACAUCGGACUCCUCUUUUUCGCUGGGGCUAAUGUCGGGUAACUUACGCUAAUACCGCAUACGACCUCCGUGUGACAGCAGGGGAUCUUCGGACCUUUCGCGAAUGUAUGAGCCGAUCUCGGAUUAGAUCGUUGGCUGGGUAAAGGCCCACCACAGCGACGAUCCGUAGCUGGUCUGAGAGGAUGUUCAGCCAGACUGGAACUGAGGCAGGGUCCAGACUCUUACGGGAGGCAGCAGUGGGGAAUAUUAGACGAGGGGGGAGAGCCGGAUCCAGCGAUACCGCGGGAAUGAUGAAGGCCUUCGGGUGGUAGAGCCAUGUUGUUGGGAAAAAAAAGCAGCAGGUUAAUCCCGGGCUGUUCUGACGGUACCCAAAGAAUAAGCACCGGCUAACUUCGUG